Molecule: ribosomal RNA, 544 nt
Filed under: uncultured Glomus
Lineage: Eukaryota; Fungi; Glomeromycota; Glomeromycetes; Glomerales; Glomeraceae
Description: partial 18S ribosomal RNA
Source: RNAcentral
UUUCCCGUAAGGCGCCGAAUGAGUCAUUAAUUUAACAUCAUCCGAUCCCUAGUCGGCAUAGUUUAUGGUUAAGACUACGACGGUAUCUGAUCGUCUUCGAUCCCCUAACUUUCGUUCUUGAUUAAUGAAAACAUCCUUGGCAAAUGCUUUCGCAGUAGUUAGUCUUCAAUAAAUCCAAGAAUUUCACCUCUGACAAUUGAAUACUAAUGCCCCCAACUAUCCCUAUUAAUCAUUACGUCGAUCCUAGAAACCAACAAAAUAAAAUCAAACGUCCUAUUUCGUUAUUCCAUGCUAAUGUAUUCAAGCGUGAGCCUGCUUUAAACACUCUAAUUUUUUCAAAGUAACAGUCCUGAUUCCCUAAAACACCAAAUUAAUGGCAUUAUAGUUCGUCAGAAGAGAGAAACCGAUUAUACCAGUACGUACAAAAGCACGACCAGUAGACCGGUCUCGAAAUUCAACUACGAGCUUUUUAACUGCAACAACUUUAAUAUACGCUAUUGGAGCUGGAAUUACCGCGGCUGCUGGCACCAGACUUGCCCUCCAA